Molecule: long non-coding RNA, 726 nt
Filed under: Capra hircus (goat)
Lineage: Eukaryota; Metazoa; Chordata; Mammalia; Artiodactyla; Bovidae
Description: lncRNA (ENSCHIG00000005766.1)
Source: RNAcentral
UAUGAACUAGGGAUACAAUUUAAUUUUUUUAAGAUGGUUGCCCACUUAUUGCAACAUCAUUUAUUGUGUAAUCCACCUUUUAUUUAUUGAUUUGUAGCUAGUCUAUUUUGAAACUUUUAGGCCUUUCAGUAAACUCAAUUCAUUGUCUAAUACCACACUGUUUUAAUUAUUAUAGCUUUAAAAUAUGCCUUACUGUCUGGUUGGGAUAAUUUCUUGCUAGUACUCUUUUUCAUGAUUUUUUAUUAUUCUUGCCAUUUUUUUCAUAUGAGCUCUAGAAUCAAUUUUUUUUUCAAAAGAAAAACAAAUCUGCUUUCUGUUUUUAGUAGAGUGAAUUAAAUUUCCAUAUUAAUUUAGGGAGAUUUGACUUAACAUGUUGGAUGUUGAUUUCACAGAUGGUAGCUCGUCGUUUUGGCUCCUUAGCCAAGCAUGUCAUCAACUGUCUGAAUUGUGGUUGCUUCCAUAGUGAUCCAAGAAACUGUUUCUUUGCUAUGAGCCUAUAAACACACCAAGUGGGCAGUUUUGAAAAGGAGAAUGUUCAUAAAUCACAGGAACAGGAAACGGACCACUAGGGGGGAUUGUUAGGCCAUUUUGUGCAAAAAAGAAUGACUUGUAACUUUUGAAAAUGACUGCAGUUUCUUUCUUUUAAAUUGUCUUUAGUCAACUUUAAGCAGGCGCCGCACACCAAAACUGGAAUUCAAUCUCAGGAAGCAAACUCAUAUCUCCCCC